This 510-nucleotide ribosomal RNA is filed under the name uncultured bacterium. Its description in RNAcentral is "bacterial SSU rRNA". It matches the Rfam family "Bacterial small subunit ribosomal RNA", at positions 355 to 874 of the family's 1533-position model. The record is from RNAcentral.
UAGGGAAUCUUGCGCAAUGGGCGAAAGCCUGACGCAGCGACGCCGCGUGCGGGACGAAGGCCUUAGGGUUGUAAACCGCUUUCAGCAGGGACGAAGCGAAAGUGACGGUACCUGCAGAAGAAGGUCCGGCCAACUACGUGCCAGCAGCCGCGGUAAUACGUAGGGACCGAGCGUUGUCCGGAUUCAUUGGGCGUAAAGAGCUCGUAGGCGGUUGCUCAAGUCGAAUGUGAAACCUCGAGGCUCAACCUCGAGCCUGCAUUCGAUACUGGGCGGCUAGAGUCUGGUAGGGGGAUCUGGAAUUCCUGGUGUAGCGGUGGAAUGCGCAGAUAUCAGGAGGAACACCGGUGGCGAAGGCGGGAUCCUGGGCCAGUACUGACGCUGAGGAGCGAAAAGCGUGGGGAGCAAACAGGAUUAGAUACCCUGGUAGUCCACGCCGUAAACGAUGGGCGCUAGGUGUGGGAGGUCAUCGACUCCUUCCGUGCCGCAGCUAACGCAUUAAGCGCCCCGCCU